CAGGCCAGCAGUGGCAUCUCCAGUUUACAGAUGGAGAAGCAGAAAAUUCAUGGGAUGGCCGAGGUUUCACACCGACGCGACCAUGAUGCUGGCACACCACACACCCUACUCGCUCCUGCUGUCCCAUCCACAGGCCUGUAAACGCUGUGAAUAUGUGGGAUGGGGGCUCCUGAGCACCUGGAUCUUUCUCUCAGGCAAUCUGGUCUGCCCCUUGAAGAACCCAACAGCUCAGCCCUCUGAUUUGUCCCUACUGACACGGUCGACUUCACUUCCCAGACCUACCUGACCUCUAGUAAACAAAAGACUCCUACAAAUUGCUGAGAAAAAGACAAACGACCCAAUACAAAAAUAGGCCAAGGUAGAACCAGACAAUUCACAGAAGAGGAGCUGCAGAUGUUGAAAAGACUUUCAACAUGUCUGAGUAUCAGGAACAUUUGAAUGAGACCAGCACCCCUGAGGGUGACAAAAUAUUUGAAAGAACUACAGGUGGUUUUGGUGUGAAAUGUUCUCCUUAAUUCCUCUUUUGAUCCAGAAACACCAAGGCCAAAUAGCUGGGCUGGGGCGCCACUGCCCACAGGGAGCAUCGCAGACAAGGCUCCUCUGGCUUCCUGUUCCGGCAUCCUCUGAGGACUUCUUGCUUGCUUUCUCAAGGUGGCUGAUGCACCUCCAUGCAUCAUAUCCAUGUCUCAACUCAAAGAAGGGGGCAAAAAUGUUCACGCCAGCUUAGUGUAUUUCUUAUUUAUCAGGAAAACAACAACUUUCACAGAAGCCCCAUAAACAGACUUUUAUAUCUCCUUGGCCAAAAUGUCACCACAUGGCUACUCCUAGCUGCAAAGGAUUCUGAGAUGUGAGACUUUUUACCUGAGCACAUCACCACCUUGAACAGAAUCAGGUGCUGUCAGUGAGAAAGGAAUAAAUAUUGACUGGCAAUUAACAGCUUCUGUCAUAAUAAUCAAACCACCUUCUUUUGAAAUAGUUUUUUAUUUUUGGUAAAAUUUAUCCAUUGCUUACUGCUCUUAGUCAAUGGUUCUGCAUGUGAUUCUAGCAAUUCUCCAAUAUCGCUUUUUAAAAUAGAAUCCAAAUAUGAUUCGUUUAAAAAGCCAAUUAAAAUUCUACAUAUUUAUCCUAGUUCAUAAAAAUCCUACUUUUAGAAAAAGAUUUGUAGUUAAACUUUGCAAUUGACUUGCAUUAUAUUCUAGGAAGGGACCUUUCUAUGACCAUCAAAAAUAUUGAUGCAUUUGUCUAGGGUAGAUGCGAACUGCAAACUGAGAGGAAUAGUUGAUGGUAGGAGAAAUUCAGGGAGGACUUCCUGGAGGAGAUGAUGCAUGAACUGAAUCCUGAAGGGUGAGUGUAUUAGUUUCCUGGGGCUGGCAUAGCAAAUUACAACACUUGAUAACUUGAAACAAUGGAAAUUUAUUUUCUCACAGUUUUAGAGGCUAGAAGUCCAACAAUCAAGCAAGGCCAGGUGUGCUCUGAAGAUUCUUUAGGUGAGAUUUCCUCCUUGUCUCUUCCACCUUUUGGUGGCCCCAAGUGUUCCUUGGUUUGUGGCAGCACAGCUCCAAUCUCCGCCUCCAUCUUCACAGGGCUGUCUGUGUUUCUCUCCUCCUCUUCCUAUAAAGACAUUUGUCAUAGGCUUUAGGGCUUACCUGGAAAAUCCAGGAUGAUCCCAUCUCAAGAUCCUUAACUUAAUCAUAUGUGCCUUUUUCCAAAUACGAUCACAUUCUCAGGCUCCAGAUGGAUAUAUAUUUUAGGGGAAGACCAUUCAACCCACUACAAUGAGUAAGAGGUAGCCAAGCAAAGAUGGGAAGGGUGCUCUCAGUAAAGGGAUUGGCACAGGGCAUAACAUGGCUUUCUGAUUUGGCGAAACCACAGUGUACUCUUACUAGAUCAUGAAUUGUGAGGAGGAGUGUCGUAAAAAAUGAGUGGAGAGGCAGUGUUGGGGGGACAGACUUGGCACCAAGGAGUUUAAAUUGUAUCACUGUGAUUCAGGUAAAGAUGCUGAGGUCCUGAAUGAGGGUUGUAAAUGGGAUGAUCGUGUCUGAGAGAGAAAGUCAGCAAGGCUUGGGGAAAAACUAAACAUGGUGAGAAAAAAAUAGGGAUGAUUGCUGGAUUUCUGGUUUGGGAAUUGACUAAAUGGUGACCCUAUUAACUGAAUUAGCAAUAAGAAGGAAGAUAAGGUCAUUUGGGGGUACGUAUAUGGGGGCAGGAGGUGCAGGAGAUUAAUUUUGGACAUAUCAAUUUAAAGUUCACAUGGACACCCCAUAAGUGAAUGCCCAAAUAAAACUUGAGACAGGAAACUGAAGGUCAGAGAUAAAAAGGCUUGUGUAAACCUGUAAGGACCAUGGAUAAAAGCAUUUAAGAAGAGCUUAAAGGAUAAGGGCAGGGGACCAGGAACAGAAUCCUGGGGGGUGCUUAUGGGCAAAGAUUGGGUGAAGGACAUCAACCAGGAAAGGGUCAUCAGAAAGGAAGGAGGGGAGCUCAGAGGACUCCUAGGAUUCCUAGGAGCAAAGGAGCAGAUGAUUCAAGGAGGAAAUGCUCAACAGAGUCUGAUGUAGGAGAGAUCCAGAAAAUGCCUAUAGUACUCAGAAGGUCUACCAGGAUUGGACAUGGGGCUCAUCAUCAAACUCUGCAAGUUCUACCAAGUGGGGAAACCGGGGGGUGG
This is a long non-coding RNA of Hippopotamus amphibius kiboko, 2662 nucleotides long. RefSeq lists it as uncharacterized. The record is from RefSeq and is a predicted model, not a curated record. The transcript has 4 exons. NCBI's taxonomy places the organism in Eukaryota, Metazoa, Chordata, Mammalia, Artiodactyla, Hippopotamidae.